UACAGAGGGGGCAAGCGUUAUUCGGAAUUAUUGGGCGUAAAGGGCGCGUAGGCGGCCUGACAAGUGGACGGUGAAAUCCCUCGGCUCAACUGAGGAACUGCGUCUGAGACUGGCAAGCUCGAGUGCAGGAGAGGAACGCGGAAUUCCAGGUGUAGCGGUGAAAUGCGUAGAUAUCUGGAGGAACACCGGUGGCGAAGGCGGGUCUCUGGGCCGAUACUGACGCUGAGGAGCGAAAGCGUGGGGAGCGAACAGG
This 253-nucleotide ribosomal RNA is filed under the name uncultured bacterium. RNAcentral describes it as "partial 16S ribosomal RNA". It matches the Rfam family "Bacterial small subunit ribosomal RNA", at positions 524 to 776 of the family's 1533-position model. The record is from RNAcentral.